RNAcentral lists this ribosomal RNA (228 nucleotides) under uncultured Lactobacillus sp. Its description in RNAcentral is "partial 16S ribosomal RNA". It matches the Rfam family "Bacterial small subunit ribosomal RNA", at positions 132 to 355 of the family's 1533-position model. Lineage: Bacteria; Bacillati; Bacillota; Bacilli; Lactobacillales; Lactobacillaceae. The record is from RNAcentral.
AAGAGAUCGGGAUAACACCUGGAAACAGAUGCUAAUACCGGAUAACAANAGAUGAUGCCUAUCAACUGUUUAAAAGAUGGUUCUGCUAUCACUCUUGGAUGGACCUGCGGUGCAUUAGCUAGUUGGUAGGGUAACGGCCUACCAAGGCGAUGAUGCAUAGCCGAGUUGAGAGACUGAUCGGCCACAUUGGGACUGAGACACGGCCAAACUCCUACGGGAGGCAGCAGC